UUUGCAUUUAAUGUUAUGGUGAUUACUAUUUAUGCAAAAUAUUAACUUUUUCAUAAAUAAUAAGUAUACAAAUUUUAAACACAUGGUCAUACCACAUUUUGGGUCACAAAUUUUUUGACAUUGGUUCCUAAUUAAAAUUCAAAGCUUAUUAAAAAUAAUUUCAAAAUUUUAGAUUUCAUUACCUAUGUUUACUGUUCCAUUAGAUCAUUCUACAUUGGAAAUUUGGCUAAACUUUCUUCAUCAAAAUUGUUCCUUAAUGUCUCUAA
This 266-nucleotide unclassified non-coding RNA is filed under the name Hevea brasiliensis (rubber tree). The record is from RNAcentral. Lineage: Eukaryota; Viridiplantae; Streptophyta; Magnoliopsida; Malpighiales; Euphorbiaceae.